Molecule: ribosomal RNA, 119 nt
Filed under: Candidatus Enterovibrio altilux
Lineage: Bacteria; Pseudomonadati; Pseudomonadota; Gammaproteobacteria; Vibrionales; Vibrionaceae
Source: RNAcentral
UGCUUGACGACCAUAGCGUUAUGGACCCACCUGAUUCCAUGCCGAACUCAGUAGUGAAACGUAACAGCGCCGAUGGUAGUGUGGAUUUCUCCAUGUGAGAGUAGGACAUCAUCAAGCUU